Molecule: ribosomal RNA, 2301 nt
Filed under: Salmonella enterica
Lineage: Bacteria; Pseudomonadati; Pseudomonadota; Gammaproteobacteria; Enterobacterales; Enterobacteriaceae
Description: partial 23S ribosomal RNA
Rfam family: Bacterial large subunit ribosomal RNA
Source: RNAcentral
AAAGAACCCCGGCGAGGGGAGUGAAAAAGAACCUGAAACCGUGUACGUACAAGCAGUGGGAGCACCCUUUGGGGUGUGACUGCGUACCUUUUGUAUAAUGGGUCAGCGACUUAUAUUCUGUAGCAAGGUUAACCGAAUAGGGGAGCCGGAGGGAAACCGAGUCUUAAUUGGGCGUUAAGUUGCAGGGUAUAGACCCGAAACCCGGUGAUCUAGCCAUGGGCAGGUUGAAGGUUGGGUAACACUAACUGGAGGACCGAACCGACUAAUGUUGAAAAAUUAGCGGAUGACCUGUGGCUGGGGGUGAAAGGCCAAUCAAACCGGGAGAUAGCUGGUUCUCCCCGAAAGCUAUUUAGGUAGCGCCUCGUGAAUUCAUCUCCGGGGGUAGAGCACUGUUUCGGCUAGGGGGCCAUCCCGGCUUACCAACCCGAUGCAAACUGCGAAUACCGGAGAAUGUUAUCACGGGAGACACACGGCGGGUGCUAACGUCCGUCGUGAAGAGGGAAACAACCCAGACCGCCAGCUAAGGUCCCAAAGUCAUGGUUAAGUGGGAAACGAUGUGGGAAGGCCCAGACAGCCAGGAUGUUGGCUUAGAAGCAGCCAUCAUUUAAAGAAAGCGUAAUAGCUCACUGGUCGAGUCGGCCUGCGCGGAAGAUGUAACGGGGCUAAACUAUGCACCGAAGCUGCGGCAGCGACACUAUGUGUUGUUGGGUAGGGGAGCGUUCUGUAAGCCUGUGAAGGUGUGUCGUGAGGCAUGCUGGAGGUAUCAGAAGUGCGAAUGCUGACAUAAGUAACGAUAAAGCGGGUGAAAAGCCCGCUCGCCGGAAGACCAAGGGUUCCUGUCCAACGUUAAUCGGGGCAGGGUGAGUCGACCCCUAAGGCGAGGCCGAAAGGCGUAGUCGAUGGGAAACGGGUUAAUAUUCCCGUACUUGGUGUUACUGCGAAGGGGGGACGGAGAAGGCUAUGUUGGCCGGGCGACGGUUGUCCCGGUUUAAGCGUGUAGGUGUGUGUUCCAGGUAAAUCCGGUUCACUUUAACACUGAGGCGUGACGACGAGGCACUACGGUGCUGAAGCAACAAAUGCCCUGCUUCCAGGAAAAGCCUCUAAGCAUCAGGUAACAUCAAAUCGUACCCCAAACCGACACAGGUGGUCAGGUAGAGAAUACCAAGGCGCUUGAGAGAACUCGGGUGAAGGAACUAGGCAAAAUGGUGCCGUAACUUCGGGAGAAGGCACGCUGACACGUAGGUGAAGUGAUUUACUCAUGGAGCUGAAGUCAGUCGAAGAUACCAGCUGGCUGCAACUGUUUAUUAAAAACACAGCACUGUGCAAACACGAAAGUGGACGUAUACGGUGUGACGCCUGCCCGGUGCCGGAAGGUUAAUUGAUGGGGUCAGCGCAAGCGAAGCUCCUGAUCGAAGCCCCGGUAAACGGCGGCCGUAACUAUAACGGUCCUAAGGUAGCGAAAUUCCUUGUCGGGUAAGUUCCGACCUGCACGAAUGGCGUAAUGAUGGCCAGGCUGUCUCCACCCGAGACUCAGUGAAAUUGAACUCGCUGUGAAGAUGCAGUGUACCCGCGGCAAGACGGAAAGACCCCGUGAACCUUUACUAUAGCUUGACACUGAACAUUGAGCCUUGAUGUGUAGGAUAGGUGGGAGGCUUUGAAGUGUGGACGCCAGUCUGCAUGGAGCCGACCUUGAAAUACCACCCUUUAAUGUUUGAUGUUCUAACGUGGACCCGUGAUCCGGGUUGCGGACAGUGUCUGGUGGGUAGUUUGACUGGGGCGGUCUCCUCCUAAAGAGUAACGGAGGAGCACGAAGGUUGGCUAAUCCUGGUCGGACAUCAGGAGGUUAGUGCAAUGGCAUAAGCCAGCUUGACUGCGAGCGUGACGGCGCGAGCAGGUGCGAAAGCAGGUCAUAGUGAUCCGGUGGUUCUGAAUGGAAGGGCCAUCGCUCAACGGAUAAAAGGUACUCCGGGGAUAACAGGCUGAUACCGCCCAAGAGUUCAUAUCGACGGCGGUGUUUGGCACCUCGAUGUCGGCUCAUCACAUCCUGGGGCUGAAGUAGGUCCCAAGGGUAUGGCUGUUCGCCAUUUAAAGUGGUACGCGAGCUGGGUUUAGAACGUCGUGAGACAGUUCGGUCCCUAUCUGCCGUGGGCGCUGGAGAACUGAGGGGGGCUGCUCCUAGUACGAGAGGACCGGAGUGGACGCAUCACUGGUGUUCGGGUUGUCAUGCCAAUGGCACUGCCCGGUAGCUAAAUGCGGAAGAGAUAAGUGCUGAAAGCAUCUAAGCACGAAACUUGCCCCGAG